AAGGCAGGAAUAAGGAACAGAUACAUCACUAGCACGCUGGUGGGGUGAGACUCGGCAGACACGGGAAGAGGCUCCUAGGGACAGUUCACCCCAGGCUUACGUCCUCUUCAUGUUCUGGUCUUUCCUUCCAGAGGGACGCCGCGGAAGCGGAGCUGCAGCUGAACCUCGCUGGCGACGGGGCUCCGCGGGUGUGUGUGUGUGUCUGUGUGUGUGUCUGUGUGUGUGUGUGUGUGUGUGUGUGUGUGAGUGACAGAGAGAGGAAAGAGGAGGAGGAAUAUAAAAAAGGAAGGGGAGGAAACGGGGAAAGAAUGGAAGGAAAAAAGAGAGCGAGGAAGACAAAAGGAGAGGAAGCUGCAGGAGGAAGGCUCUUAACUUGCGGACACUUAGCUCCUUUGCUCUGUGCGCAGAGAGAGGGAGAGAAAGAAAAGAGCGAAGGAGAGCCAGCUGUGAGUGCGUUUCCCGUUCCUGGCUCCUCCUAGGAGGCCUCGGCCUCAGUUCUGCAUAUUUUACUCCCGCGCUGGGAAACCCGGAAACGACUCCAGCAGCCCGGCGCGCAGGGCUGUAACCUUUCCCCGUUCUCACGGAGACGCAGAGGCGAGGCCGUCCAGGUGCGGCCGGGAUCUCCAGGAGUGCCCGGUUUCCCUAACCUCCACCCCAGGUCCCAGGCAGGACCCCAGGCUGCGCUGGCAGGCAGACCCCGCCUCGGGCUGCUCUUUCCUGCGCUGUCGACCGCGAGGGCGUCUACCAGCUGCACGUCCAGGUGACCCUGGCCAGGUGCUGCUCCCAAGGGACACCAGGCACCGCAAUGCCACCCUGGCCGUGGGGCUCUGAACCCCGCCCCCCACAGAGUCAGCCUGCUGCGCCUGGGCUUGUCCAGGCCUGCACUGUGGCCUCUCAGCGCCUGACGCCCUCUGCGCCAACCUCAGCCCCCAGCGCCUGCCCUCCCCCAACACCGACAAGAACUUCUUGGGCAUCCACUCCUGACCACCCCCGGCUCGGCUGCUCUGCUUCUGUUUUCUGUAAAUGAAUGUGUUUUUCAAUUUCACCUUGACUUGCAUAUUUGAUGGGUGAGUCAAUGCCGGCACAGCUGGCUUAGAUGGGCAGGAGACGCCUCAGUGUUCCCAGGGCACCAAAAACAAACGCAGCCUGGUGUGGUAGCCUACUUCUCUUGCCAGCAACUCAGGAGGCUGAGGCAGGAGGAUCGUAAAUCCAGGGCAGGCCUGGGCAACGAAUGACUUAGGGAGACACUGUCUCCAAAAAUCAAAAUGGGUCGGGGGUAGAGUUCAGUGAUAGAGCGCCCCUGGGCUUGGUGCCAGUAAAAAAUAAAAAUUAUAAACCCACGCAAAGAACCUAAAGCAAAAUGAUGCGUAAAUAUGGUGUAAAAUCACAGGAAAAAAGAACAUUAAACAAGUAAAGGAUAUAAAUACGGAGAAGUGAUGACACAGGCCUCUUGACCCUGCAUUCUGGGAGGCUGAGACAGGAGAGGCCCAAGUUUGAGCCCAGCCUGGGCAACUUAGCAACUUAGCAAGACCCUGUCUCAAAAUAAAAAAUAAAAAAGGCCUGGGUUCAAUUUCGGGUAAAGAGACAGAGAGGGAGAGAGAGAGGGAGGGAGGGAGAGAGAGAGAGAGAGGGAGAGGAUACAUAGAGAGUAUUUAAUAAUAGUGUACCAUACUAAAACUGGAUAAAGAUAAUAGAAGAGAAAAGUAUGAACAUAAGAAUUUGUUUAAUAAAACAAACUAUUAGAAGUCAGAUCUGGCAGUAUGUAGUAAGUGGUUUUAUUAUAGGGAUGGCAGUGUGGGUUCAGCAUUGGAAGAUCCACCCCCAUAAGGCAUCAUUUUAACAAAGGAAAGGAAAAAGCCAUAUGAUCCUGUCACUAGUUGGAGAAAAAGGUAUCGGACUAAAUUCCACAGAUGUUCAUGUUAAAAGCUAUUAGGAGACUAGAAGUAGAACAGAACCUUUUCAACAGAUUAAAGACUUGUACUCCAUACUUCCAGCAAAAACACCUUAUAUGAAUGGAAAAGAUACAAUGUUGAUUUCCUAAAAUGAGGGAAAUGUUUCUUCUUUUCUCUGCUUUAAAUGUUUGAUAUAAUUCGUCAGUUAAAAUGUAUAUGACCCUGUUUUAUAGGUAGGUUUUCAAGCUAGGAAUAUACUUUCUUUAAUAGGUGCUAUUCAAAUUUUAUAUUUCUUCCAGAGUCAGUUUCAUUAAUUUGUCUUCCAAGGUACUUCUUAGAAGUGGUCAGAUUUAUUUCAAAAAAGAUUUUUGUAAUAUGCUUUCGAUAUUCUUUUAAAUUCAGCAAAAUCUGUGGUAAUGUUCUCUAAAUCUUGAUAUUGUAAUUUUUUAAAAAAAUGUAUAAUUGAUAUUGUGUAAUAGGAAGAAAAGGUCUAAAGGAGUAGGGG
This 2397-nucleotide long non-coding RNA is filed under the name Heterocephalus glaber (naked mole-rat). Its description in RNAcentral is "lncRNA (ENSHGLG00000041089.1)". The record is from RNAcentral. Lineage: Eukaryota; Metazoa; Chordata; Mammalia; Rodentia; Bathyergidae.